UUUGUCCGGUUGCUGCUUUGUGCUUCGGAUGCUGUUUUGUGUUUAAGGGUUUUGAAUUGGUUGUAUUGGUUAUUGCUGUUUGUGGCUUUGAUAAUUGUUUAGGUUCAAAGUAAAUUGCCCUCUGGUUAUUGCUGUUUGCUGUUUGUGGCUUUGAUAACUGUUUUGGCUGAAAGAUGGUGUCUCAGGUUUAUGUUGUGAUGGUUUUACGG
RNAcentral lists this long non-coding RNA (209 nucleotides) under Medicago truncatula (barrel medic). RNAcentral describes it as "long non-coding RNA (MTRU_LNC006783)". Lineage: Eukaryota; Viridiplantae; Streptophyta; Magnoliopsida; Fabales; Fabaceae. The record is from RNAcentral.